UAAUGGUCUUAAUAUUUGAUAUGCUUGU
Molecule: small RNA, 28 nt
Filed under: Bombyx mori (domestic silkworm)
Lineage: Eukaryota; Metazoa; Arthropoda; Insecta; Lepidoptera; Bombycidae
Description: piRNA piR-bmo-1308103
Source: RNAcentral